Molecule: ribosomal RNA, 253 nt
Filed under: uncultured bacterium
Lineage: Bacteria
Description: partial 16S ribosomal RNA
Rfam family: Bacterial small subunit ribosomal RNA
Source: RNAcentral
UACGUAGGGGGCAAGCGUUAUCCGGAUUUACUGGGUGUAAAGGGAGCGUAGACGGCAUGGCAAGUCGGAUGUGAAAGCCCGGGGCUCAACCCCGGGACUGCAUUUGAAACUGUCAGGCUGGAGUGCAGGAGAGGUAAGUGGAAUUCCUAGUGUAGCGGUGAAAUGCGUAGAUAUUAGGAGGAACACCAGUGGCGAAGGCGGCUUACUGGACUGUAACUGACGUUGAGGCUCGAAAGCGUGGGGAGCAAACAGG